GCCCGGAUGGCGAAAUCGGUAGACGCAGGAGACUUAAAAUCUCCCGACCGCAAGGUCAUGCCGGUUCGAUCCCGGCUCCGGGCACCA
RNAcentral lists this transfer RNA (87 nucleotides) under Pseudomonas sp. N040. Its description in RNAcentral is "tRNA-Leu". It matches the Rfam family "tRNA". Rfam says of the family: Transfer RNA (tRNA) molecules are approximately 80 nucleotides in length. Their secondary structure includes four short double-helical elements and three loops (D, anti-codon, and T loops). Lineage: Bacteria; Pseudomonadati; Pseudomonadota; Gammaproteobacteria; Pseudomonadales; Pseudomonadaceae. The record is from RNAcentral.